CAAGCGAGGCGGGAAAAGCUCAAAUUUGUAAUCUGGCGCCUUCGGCGUCCGAGUUGUAAUCUCGAGAAAUGUUUUCCGUGUUAGACCGCAUACAAGUCUCUUGGAACAGAGCGUCAUAGUGGUGAGAACCCAGUACACGAUGCGGAUGCCUAAUACUUUGUGAUACAUUUUCGAAGAGUCGAGUUGUUUGGGAAUGCAGCUCAAAUUGGGUGGUAAAUUCCAUCUAAAGCUAAAUAUUGGCGAGAGACCGAUAGCGAACAAGUACCGUGAGGGAAAGAUGAAAAGCACUUUGGAAAGAGAGUUAACAGUACGUGAAAUUGUUGGAAGGGAAACACAUGCAGUCAGACUUGCUAUUCGGGGCAACUCGAUUGGCAGGCCCGCAUCAGUUUUUCGGGGCGGAAAAGCAUAGAGAGAAGGUAGCAGUUUCGGCUGUGUUAUAGCUCUUUAUUGGAUUCGCCCUGGGGGACUGAGGAACGCAGCGUGCUUUUAGCAUGAGCUUCGGCUUAUCCACGCUUAGGAUGCGGGUGUAAUGGCUGUAUAUGAC
This 544-nucleotide ribosomal RNA is filed under the name Sporobolomyces blumeae. RNAcentral describes it as "partial large subunit ribosomal RNA". It matches the Rfam family "Eukaryotic large subunit ribosomal RNA", at positions 90 to 648 of the family's 3401-position model. The record is from RNAcentral. Lineage: Eukaryota; Fungi; Basidiomycota; Microbotryomycetes; Sporidiobolales; Sporidiobolaceae.